AAAAGACAGUGUUAUGGCAAAAAGAUAGCAACUUGACAGUGAUGUGGCAAAAAGAUAGCUGUUUGUGCUUUACUGUGCUUCAAAAACUUGUUGGCAAAAUCAAAGACCAAAGGUGACCUGAUAACAAAAUGAUGCCAGCAUUGUUUAGGAAUUAGCUUUCAGUCCCUUUUGAUAGGAGCCUUGGUUUCUGUUUUUUGUCUAGUGCUGGAAGGUCUGUCUUUGGUGGGCAGGUUUUGUUGGUUCCUUGGUUCUGAGCCAAUCCCCAUAGCCUUGUUCUUGCUUUCUUCAGCAGUGGCCAUCAUUGUAAUACAUGGGAAUAAGUUGGGUGGAUCGUUCGCAAUGCAUGCAGUAGAUUGGCCUUGGUGAAGUAGUUCUUAAAAAUGGCAUCUUACAAUCUGAGCACGCCAUGGAGCAGAAAUGUUGAUCUUCAUUUAUCAGUGAAAGUUCACCAUCGAUGUAGAAUAUUUGUCCCUGUAAAUUUAGAAAUUGAUUUAGUUUUUGUUGAGUGGAAAAUAGUUGCAA
Molecule: long non-coding RNA, 522 nt
Organism: Lycium ferocissimum
Lineage: Eukaryota; Viridiplantae; Streptophyta; Magnoliopsida; Solanales; Solanaceae
Exons: 3
Source: RefSeq, a predicted model, not a curated record